Molecule: ribosomal RNA, 485 nt
Filed under: uncultured bacterium
Lineage: Bacteria
Description: partial 16S ribosomal RNA
Rfam family: Bacterial small subunit ribosomal RNA
Source: RNAcentral
AUUGAACGCUGGCGGCAGGCUUAACACAUGCAAGUCGAGCGGGGGAGGGUAGCUUGCUACCGGACCUAGCGGCGGACGGGUGAGUGAUGCUUAGGAAUCUGCCUAUUAGUGGGGGACAACAUCUCGAAAGGGAUGCUAAUACCGCAUACGUCCUACGGGAGAAAGCAGGGGAUCUUCGGACCUUGCGCUAAUAGAUGAGCCUAAGUCGGAUUAGCUAGUUGGUGGGGUAAAGGCCUACCAAGGCGACGAUCUGUAGCGGGUCUGAGAGGAUGAUCCGCCACAAUGGGACCGAGACACGGCCCAGACUCCCACGGGAGGCAGCAGUGGGGAAUAUUGGACAAUGGGGGGAACCCUGAUCCAGCCAUGCCGCGUGUGUGAAGAAGGCCUUAUGGUUGUAAAGCACUUUAAGCGAGGAGGAGGCUACUUUAGUUAAUACCUAGAGAUAGUGGACGUUACUCGCAGAAUAAGCACCGGCUAACUCUGUG